This 72-nucleotide transfer RNA is filed under the name Dichelobacter nodosus VCS1703A. It matches the Rfam family "tRNA". Rfam says of the family: Transfer RNA (tRNA) molecules are approximately 80 nucleotides in length. Their secondary structure includes four short double-helical elements and three loops (D, anti-codon, and T loops). Further hydrogen bonds mediate the characteristic L-shaped molecular structure. tRNAs have two regions of fundamental functional importance: the anti-codon, which is responsible for specific mRNA codon recognition, and the 3' end, to which the tRNAs corresponding amino acid is attached (by aminoacyl-tRNA synthetases). tRNAs cope with the degeneracy of the genetic code in two manners: having more than one tRNA (with a specific anti-codon) for a particular amino acid; and 'wobble' base-pairing, i.e. permitting non-standard base-pairing at the 3rd anti-codon position. The record is from Rfam by way of RNAcentral. Lineage: Bacteria; Pseudomonadati; Pseudomonadota; Gammaproteobacteria; Cardiobacteriales; Cardiobacteriaceae.
GGGUCGUUAGCUCAGCGGUAGAGCAGUUGGCUUUUAACCAAUUGGUCGAAGGUUCGAUUCCUUCACGGCCCA